RNAcentral lists this long non-coding RNA (211 nucleotides) under Vigna radiata. Its description in RNAcentral is "long non-coding RNA (VRAD_LNC012859)". The record is from RNAcentral. Lineage: Eukaryota; Viridiplantae; Streptophyta; Magnoliopsida; Fabales; Fabaceae.
AAAAAGUAAAAGUGAAGGCACGUAACAGUCAUUGUUCAACUCUUGUUUCUUAAAACAGUAGGGAAGGGAACCCAGUUUGAUCUUUCGGCAUGGAAGUGUUUUCGCACUAAUCAUUAUUAGAAUGUCAUCAUUAUUCACUCUGUAAUGUCCUAAUCAACAAAUCCACUUAAUUCUGCACAAACCAUUCUUCCAUGGCCCACUUAGAUCUUUC